UGUGUAACAGCCGCGUACCAGACGUGUGCAUCGAACAGCUUCUCCCAGUUCGGUUUUAUAAAGAAAAUGAUCCCGUUCACAGCACCGUCUAAGGUAACCGCUCUAACCAGCAAGCUUAUCAUGAUGAUGUAAGGAAAGAUCGCGAGGAAAUAGGCCGCUUUCCCUGAGCUCUUCACACCACGUGCCAAGACAGCAAAUAUGCAGCCCCACGCAAUAAACAAGCAAAUUGUCAGACUCCAAUCUGGCAAUCCGACGCCAUCCUGAAUAGUAUGUUUUUCUUUCAGCACAGUUUUUCUGAUGUUGUUAAGAUUAAAAAGAUUUCACCUGAAGAAAAAUUCAGCAGAACUGGUCAUAUUUGUACUAUUUCGUUUGCUGAUGUUAUAAGAGCUUCCCGAAUCGGAGCAAGAAUUUCCCCAUUCUUCCAAACACGU
Molecule: unclassified non-coding RNA, 431 nt
Filed under: Bombus terrestris (buff-tailed bumblebee)
Lineage: Eukaryota; Metazoa; Arthropoda; Insecta; Hymenoptera; Apidae
Description: misc RNA ENSBTSG00005028928.1
Source: RNAcentral